RNAcentral lists this ribosomal RNA (586 nucleotides) under uncultured bacterium. Its description in RNAcentral is "bacterial SSU rRNA". It matches the Rfam family "Bacterial small subunit ribosomal RNA", at positions 338 to 916 of the family's 1533-position model. The record is from RNAcentral.
CCUACGGGAGGCAGCAGUAGGGAAUCUUCCGCAAUGGACGAAAGUCUGACGGAGCAACGCCGCGUGAACGAUGAAGGCCUUCGGGUCGUAAAGUUCUGUUGUUAGGGAAGAACAAGUGUUAGUUGAAUAAGCUGGCACCUUGACGGUACCUAACCAGAAAGCCACGGCUAACUACGUGCCAGCAGCCGCGGUAAUACGUAGGUGGCAAGCGUUGUCCGGAAUUAUUGGGCGUAAAGCGCGCGCAGGCGGUUUCUUAAGUCUGAUGUGAAAGCCCCCGGCUCAACCGGGGAGGGUCAUUGGAAACUGGGAAACUUGAGUGCAGAAGAGGAAAGUGGAAUUCCAAGUGUAGCGGUGAAAUGCGUAGAGAUUUGGAGGAACACCAGUGGCGAAGGCGACUUUCUGGUCUGUAACUGACGCUGAGGCGCGAAAGCGUGGGGAGCAAACAGGAUUAGAUACCCUGGUAGUCCACGCUGUAAACGAUGAGUGCUAAGUGUUAGAGGGUUUCCGCCCUUUAGUGCUGAAGUUAACGCAUUAAGCACUCCGCCUGGGGAUACGGUCGCAAGACUGAAACUUAAGGAAUUGACGG